AACCGUGAACAGUGAAAUUUUCCGUAUUUCCGAAGAAAUACCCUUCGCCAUCACUUCCAACGACUAAAGAAUAUGAAGUAUACAUGAUACAUCUUCCAGAAAUCAUAAAUGUGAGGCAUGUGGAAAAUCAUGAAUGAUAAAGUCACAAGAAAAGAACAAAAAGAUAAUGAAAUGAUAAAAUAUUGUGAAAAUUACCUUCAAUCUAAUUAACUUUAAUCCUGUUACCCUCAUGUAAAAGGUAAAAAAAAGUGAAAGCAUUAAUAGCGUUUUCUUUUAGCUGGAACAACUCACCAAGAUCGGACAUUCUCGACUGCCAUUACACUGAAUCUGUUCCAUUUUCAAGAGGAGAAACAUGAACAAACAUUGCGUUAAAAACCUUUUCUUUUCCAAACUGAUCGCAAUGAAUAACGGACUCAGACGCGGCAACAUAUCAACGGUAUUAGACUAUUUAAUUUUAAAUUCUAUUACAUCCUCUUCCUCUUGCCUUAUCUCGUUGUCCACUAAAUGAAUUUAAAAACUUCAAAAGAUAGGGUAAAUGAAACACGACUUAAGAAACCCAUUAAAUAAAUACCAUUAUUAAAUAACACUUUUUUUUCCAAGAAAAAAAUUCCAAAGCCAUUCGUCUUCCGUAAACCACAGUGCCGACCCCUCCACCGUGAAGUGUCAAAGCAUCCGUAAAAAUAUCACACUGCUCAUGGAACUAAAUAAAGACAAAUAAAAAAAAAAGACUCGUCCGUCGAGCCGGAGUUGAACCAGCGACCUAUGGAUACCUCUUUUACGUAAGUGUAACACCUUUCUCUUUUAUUGUUACUCGUUUCUACAGUCCACCGCUCUACCAACUGAGCUAUCGACGGAUGAAAUCAUUCGCGAAUUCAUUGAUCAUAACCAGGUGAAAGAUUAUUAAAUAUUUCCUUGUUUUGCAGGUCAAUUUAACAGGAUGAGUUCGUAGCCUUUUAACAACGGAUGAAAAUCGUGCUCUAUCAAAUGGCCGUGCGAACGCAUUAGGCUACGUGAUACUGAAUAUGUUUUUUACGACUUGCUUCAUUCUGGAGCUGAAAUGCGAUCUCCGUCAGGUAAAUAUGAGAAUUUUCUUUCUAAUUGCACGUUCACGAUCUGUAAACUUUUUAUUAAAUUUUCCUUUUCUCGUUGUUUAAGAAAUUUUAUACCUGUAUCGCCAUAUUUUCUCUCGUCCACAUGUUUGACACCUUAGUCAAGCCAUUUUUCCUGCAGGACUGACUUUUUCAUCACGUCACCUGUAAAAUGAACAUCACGUUUCUAAGCUCACCUGUCGAUUUCCUACUGGUCGAUUCAUUUAUAAUUGCAAUAUAAUUUUCUCGGUAGACCAGCGAACCGGCAGUGAGUUCACAACCAUUUGCAGUCCAGUGCUCCAGUUGGAAAGGUAAAGCUAUGCAUCCAUUUUUUCAAUUCAUCCAUUUGCCACAGAAACGUACUAACAGAACUACGUAAUUUUGCAAUUGUUACAUCAAAGAAAUCACAGUUCGAUCACGUCGAUAAACUUGGAAAAAAUAUCAAAAAUGCUGCUGUUUACUUACGUGGUCGUUUGUCUUGCCAUCAUCAGCCCAAUUUUUUCUGCUGAAGUUGGAACUCCAUCAACUGUACCUCCAACGCGGGAUAUGUCUAAAGUUAAACAUUACGGAAUGUGUGGCCGACCGAUUUUUCCUAAUACGGAACUGUGCUCAUUGAAUGGAACAAAAACAGUUACGCUUUGGGCAUUCGAUAGCCAGGCUCUGAAAUGUGUAACGUUUCAAAAUUGCGGACGCUUUCCUCAUUCUUUGAAUUUUUUCCCUUCAGACGUGGCUUGCAAAAUAAUAUGUGAGCCUACGAGAUUGGCGCUGACACUCAAACCUUAAACUGAAACUAGAUGGACAAGCAUCACCAUGGACUGUCUUGUACUGCUAAAUGGACUAUAUGUCUUCUAGAAAAAGCUCCCCAAUUACGAGGAUUGACGUUUAAAAUUUACAGCCAGGAAUGUAGAAUUUAAAAAUUUUGAAUAGUUACUGACUUGGGGCACUUUACUGGAAAGCGUAUUGGAGUUAAUAAACUACUUUGCUAUCUUGCAAAUAGCUAUUCCUUCUGCCUACACAGUCUACUAGUGAUGAGAAAUAUCAAAUCGUAAUUUUCUCCUGAAAUCAAUUAAUAAUCGGAAAAUUUCAAACGAGAAAGUUAACUGGUGAAAAUAGUACUAUGCAUUACCUACUUGUGCAUAUUGUACUCAUUUCAGACGUUAAAAACGUUCAAACCAAAUUACCUUAAAAAGCUGAUGGGAAAUAAAAACGAUGAUAGAUGUUACUUACGCAUUAUGAAAUCUUCGGAUUAACCACUGCUUAAAUGUAAAGUUCUUGCGAUGAACAUUCUCGUAGAAUGCAGACAAGGUGGAAAUACAUCCCAUUUUAGCUGUAACGAGAUUUUCAACAAUACGAAUUUCAGAUCUGCCAUUACACGUCAGAACACGUCAACAUCUGCCCAGCAGACUAAACAUUGCCCGAUCGAAACUAUUCCGAUAAGGUUUUCCACAGCAUGAUGAUAUCAACAAAUCCUUGAGUAAACUGAUUCUACAAAAUAGAUAUUUAUCAAAGAUUUUACAAAAUCAGUGCCUCUAAUUUUUCUUCGGUUGUGACUGUUUCCCACAUUACUAUUCAACUCGUACUGAUGUACACGGCCUAAAAGGGAACUUAGUUUCACCUUGUUUCUGAAGGAAGGACUUGCAAAGACGGAUUUAAAUAAAAAUCUCUCCCUUCCCCUGCACGCCUGCACGACUGCACGUGUCCUAAAUAUUUUUGUGGACGUCACAGGGGUAAGGAAAUAGAAACGUGGCGUAAGUAACCACUCCUCCUAAAUGUACCUUGAAUUUUGCGUUUUAAAAUCCGCCUUUCUUGCGAAUUAUUCUGGCGCCCUUUCAAACAAAGAAACACAAUAGCUUUCAAGAUAACGCUAAAGGACAAGGCUGUAGCCUAACAUGAGUAACAUCACCUAGUGGCAUUUCCUUUUUCGAUAGAUAAAACACAAUGCAGACUCCCUCCGGCGUGAGAUGGCAAUGCAUCCGAAAAUAACCUUAGGGUCCUCAUGGCAUCGCUGACAAGGUGAGCAAAAAAAAAAAAUAAAAAAAAAAAUGGCUAUUCCGUCGAGCCGGAGUUGAACCAGCGACCUAUGGAUAUCUUUUUCAUGAAACAAAAUGCUAAAAGCAAUGCACACAAAAAAUAAUACCUGACCGAAAAAAAUUUUCCGUCGAGCCGGAGUUGAACCAGCGACCUAUGGAUAUCUCCCACAAGCACACCUGCUUGCUUUGUUUGUUUAAUUCUACAGUCCACCGCUCUACCAACUGAGCUAUCGACGGAUGUCAACUUGCCCACAUAUGAAGCUACACAUCAAGCAUAUGAGAAGCCAUGAACUUAAACAACAUUUUUAACGCAAUGGCACAAAUGAAUAAAAAUGAAAGCGUGUUA
Molecule: long non-coding RNA, 3464 nt
Organism: Daphnia magna
Lineage: Eukaryota; Metazoa; Arthropoda; Branchiopoda; Diplostraca; Daphniidae
Exons: 6
Source: RefSeq, a predicted model, not a curated record